CCCCUUUUUAAUUUGCCCCAGGAAAGGCAGAAGCCUUCAACUGAGCCCAACUGGGCUGAAGGAACCUCCUCCUGGCACGGCUGGAACUCAAGCAUUCUACGUGUUCAGAUCUAUGCUGUUCCAACACAUAAAGGCAAAAAGACAUCGGUGAGGUUUCUUCAGAGAUGCCUGCUGAGAACUGCUGCUCGCUCUACUUUCGGUUUGAUGACCUUUUCUUUUUCAUGCUAAUGCAAGCCAGUAGGCAGACAAAUGACAUGGAGACAGGAAUUUCUCUACAGACUAAGCAGUUGUUACUGGGUCAAGACUUAAACUUCUUGCUACAGGAGGGAGAGUGCCCAAUGGAAUUAAGUGAUUAGUCAUCAGAGAAACCUUCAGGCAGACAAAAGGCAACGUAUAGCUUCUCAGCCCUGAGUACAAUGAGGAAGCUCCCAUGGCUCAUUAAUAGACUGAUGCCAACUCCAGCAGUGCAUCUAUCAGCUCCUAUGUAGGUGUCACUCAGCAGCUUAACUUUUCAGGUGAGGCCUCUUUGGCUAAUUGUAAUAAAAUGUUGGGCCUGUGUUAAUCUCUGGUAACACAAAUUCAGCACUACUACCAGGAAUAAAGGGGUGCACCUCACUUCUAGUCCACAUCCUUUGCUGCCCUCCAACAAAAAGAACAAGCAUCCAUGGCAGGUCACCAGUAGCCUGAAAGCUCAUCUUAAGUCUAGCCCCAUGAAUUUCUACAUCACAGAAUCUUCAUUUAAAGACUUCUUUCCAGCUCUAGACAGAAAAGCCUGAAAACACUGACAAUACAGAAAGGAAGGAGCUGUGCAAGCCCACAUCACUAGAUGGUGCAAGCAGACCACUAGCUCCAGCACUGCUCUUCCAGACUGAAGGAAUACCAGCUUCUAGCCUCCAGCUGAACAAUUUGGAGUGAGGAGGGCAAACCCAGCUCAUCCUGCAGAAGCCCAAGCAGGCAGAGCCGAACCGGUUUGACUGAUGGCAAAAUGAUGGUUAGAAUGAUGACAAAACAGAGCUGCACUGCUGUGUGCCCUUGAAGCUCUC
Long non-coding RNA from Pogoniulus pusillus (Red-fronted tinkerbird), 1043 nucleotides. RefSeq lists it as uncharacterized. NCBI's taxonomy places the organism in Eukaryota, Metazoa, Chordata, Aves, Piciformes, Lybiidae. The transcript has 5 exons. The record is from RefSeq and is a predicted model, not a curated record.